GAGAAACCAUUGAAACCGUGAAGCUAAAACGUCCCAGAAUAAUAACUCUUACAUUUAAUCUGCGUUUUCCAUUCAAAGAUCCACUCUUCCUUCAUAAUGAUUUCGAUCUAUCUCUUCGUUCACCCUCAAACCGCCUCGGAAAUUGGAGCCCUAGCUUCACUUUUCACAAGAGUAGAGAAGAUGCACUGAAAAGCCUCCCUAUCUCUCAGACUACGUUAAACUCUUCAAUGCUUCAUUAAUUCAGCCUUCACCACCUUCGUUGCACAUAAAUACAAACCGUAUGAGAGACGAAGCAUAAUCCGUUUGCUUUUCCUAAUUCUGAGCUUCUGUUUAUUCUCAUUGAAACGUUCAACCAACGUUCAACCAUGGCGACUUUUCAAGUACAUUUCAUGGAGUUCACAUCAGACUACUUUGAUUUUGGAAGGGCCGUCAUGUGAAGAAAGGCGGGGAGCUGAUAGACAUUGAUAUAGUACUUAUUGAUCCGAAGGGGACGCUCAUCAACGCUGCUCUCGUCUUGGACCAAAUGAUAACUGCAGUUUCAUGGAUACAAAAAGGGGCUGCAAAGGCAAUGCCUGAAUCCUGAUGAUGCUAAGCCUCAUUCUAAGGAAAAGAUCAAUGAGCUGUCGAGAAUGGCACCCUCAAGAAAAGUUGAAUUCUUUUCCAUUUCCUGUUUCUACUGUCCAUUUUCUUAAAAUCACCCUUUGAUUUGUGGUUACAUGGAUAUCAUCUGCUAUCUCAGUGACAUGCAUGGACGAAGUUGAAAACGGGAUGGAGCGUGAAUUAAUACAUAGUGGCGACGGUGCUCAUAACAAGGCUGUAGCCAAACCUUUUGGAAAACCAUGUUCCAAAAGCAACAAGCUGAUCGGGAUUCAAACUGAUAACUGAUGGUGUUAUAUUUCAUGCUAAAAAUUCUCCAAGAAGCUUAGCUAUAGUGUGGGGUAUCUUCCUUCUCAACGGAUCAACUUUGACGACGAGUAUGCCGCCAUCUGUAGCUACCUG
Brassica oleracea var. oleracea is the source of this 999-nucleotide long non-coding RNA. RefSeq lists it as uncharacterized. The transcript is spliced from 4 exons. NCBI's taxonomy places the organism in Eukaryota, Viridiplantae, Streptophyta, Magnoliopsida, Brassicales, Brassicaceae. The record is from RefSeq and is a predicted model, not a curated record.